This 588-nucleotide ribosomal RNA is filed under the name Salmonella enterica subsp. enterica serovar Wangata. Its description in RNAcentral is "partial 23S ribosomal RNA". It matches the Rfam family "Bacterial large subunit ribosomal RNA", at positions 2154 to 2741 of the family's 2925-position model. The record is from RNAcentral. Lineage: Bacteria; Pseudomonadati; Pseudomonadota; Gammaproteobacteria; Enterobacterales; Enterobacteriaceae.
GCUUUGAAGUGUGGACGCCAGUCUGCAUGGAGCCGACCUUGAAAUACCACCCUUUAAUGUUUGAUGUUCUAACGUGGACCCGUAAUCCGGGUUGCGGACAGUGUCUGGUGGGUAGUUUGACUGGGGCGGUCUCCUCCUAAAGAGUAACGGAGGAGCACGAAGGUUGGCUAAUCCUGGUCGGACAUCAGGAGGUUAGUGCAAUGGCAUAAGCCAGCUUGACUGCGAGCGUGACGGCGCGAGCAGGUGCGAAAGCAGGUCAUAGUGAUCCGGUGGUUCUGAAUGGAAGGGCCAUCGCUCAACGGAUAAAAGGUACUCCGGGGAUAACAGGCUGAUACCGCCCAAGAGUUCAUAUCGACGGCGGUGUUUGGCACCUCGAUGUCGGCUCAUCACAUCCUGGGGCUGAAGUAGGUCCCAAGGGUAUGGCUGUUCGCCAUUUAAAGUGGUACGCGAGCUGGGUUUAGAACGUCGUGAGACAGUUCGGUCCCUAUCUGCCGUGGGCGCUGGAGAACUGAGGGGGGCUGCUCCUAGUACGAGAGGACCGGAGUGGACGCAUCACUGGUGUUCGGGUUGUCAUGCCAAUGGCACUGC